CGCCUCGGUUUGUUCCACAAUAUUUACCACCACAACACGAAUCCUAAACGCGAGCUCUAUUCAGCACCCUUAAGCCCGGGAUACAUGGAGCUGAAAACCGGCGUCCAGGCGACGAAAUACGCCCCGGCGGCAAACGCUCGCCCCUCGGCGUCCAACGAUUUGACUCCCGCCGGCUACCCGGUCCGAUUGGAAAACCGCCGUCGGAAGUGGUGGGAGCGCCUCGCGCGCUCACCAGGCGUCACGAUGAUCGAUCUCCCUCCGACUUCCAGAAACGAAUGGUACAACCCAAUAAAUUGAUGCAAUUACAAGAGCUACAAACUGAAACCAAUACCAGAGAACUCGGUGUGCUGGUCGAAGAAAGAAGCAAGCUAUACACCUGCCGAGAUCAUGGAGGACACUGCAAGAAAAACCCAACAUGCGGCGCAAGACCGCAUCUGAACGGUACAUGCCCUACCAACAGAACUUGCUGCAAAUGGGAUGACUGACUCCGCGUAGCCACUUCCUACUCCUCUUUCCCACAAUAUCCAGUGCAUAAUUUGGAGGUUACAAAGGACUUUUUAUGUACUGCGUGCCUAUUAU
This is a long non-coding RNA of Dermacentor andersoni, 579 nucleotides long. RefSeq lists it as uncharacterized. Lineage: Eukaryota; Metazoa; Arthropoda; Arachnida; Ixodida; Ixodidae. The record is from RefSeq and is a predicted model, not a curated record.